RNAcentral lists this ribosomal RNA (398 nucleotides) under Pyrenaearia parva. Its description in RNAcentral is "partial 16S ribosomal RNA". It matches the Rfam family "Archaeal large subunit ribosomal RNA", at positions 1949 to 2665 of the family's 2987-position model. The record is from RNAcentral. Lineage: Eukaryota; Metazoa; Mollusca; Gastropoda; Stylommatophora; Hygromiidae.
CCCUGCUCAAUGAUAUAUUAAAUAGCCGCAGUACUUUGACUGCGCAAAGGUAGCAUAAUCAUUUGGCUUAUAAUUGAAGUCUGGAAUGAAUGGGAAUAUGGGUAGUUACUGUCUUACCAUAAAUAAAGAAUUUACUAAUUAAGUGAAAAUUCUUAUAAAAAUAUAAUAGACGAGAAGACCCUAGAAAUUUUAUAUAAUAUGUAUUACAUUAAGCUAUUUUGUUGGGGCGACAGAACAACAUUUAACUUGUUUAUUAUUAUAAGACCUUAUUGAAUGGUGUAAUUAAAUUACUCUAGGGAUAACAGCAUAAUACAAAAGAGUUUGUGACCUCGAUGUUGGACUAGGAAUAUUAUUGUUUAGAAGAUAAUAAUAAUGGCUCUGUUCGAGCUAAAUCUCCU